Molecule: ribosomal RNA, 388 nt
Filed under: uncultured bacterium
Lineage: Bacteria
Description: bacterial SSU rRNA
Rfam family: Bacterial small subunit ribosomal RNA
Source: RNAcentral
GACGAACGCUGGCGGCGUGCUUAACACAUGCAAGUCGAACGGUGAAGGGAAGCUUGCUUCCCGGAUCAGUGGCGAGCGGGUGAGUAACACGUGGGCAAUCUGCCCCAGACUUUGGGAUAACUACUCGAAAGAGUAGCUAAUACCGAAUAUUCAGCCUUGCAGGCAUCUGCGAGGCUGGAAAGUUUCUCGGUCUGGGAUGAGCCCGCGGCCUAUCAGCUAGUUGGUGAGGUAAUGGCUCACCAAGGCGACGACGGGUAGCCGGCCUGAGAGGGCGACCGGCCACACUGGGACUGAGACACGGCCCAGACUCCUACGGGAGGCAGCAGUGGGGAAUAUUGCGCAAUGGGCGAAAGCCUGACGCAGCAACGCCGCGUGCGGGAUGAAGGCC